GCGCUCCGCGCGCUCCCUCACGCAGAGCGGGGUCUACUGCAAACACCGGGCCCUGCGCAGAUUUAAAACUUCCUUUUACGACAACGUGUGGAAAACAGCUGAGGUCCACAGGAGCAGCAACUGGCGGUUUCUUUUGAUGUGACUGAGCACUGGAUGCGGCUGCCCAGAGGUUGGAGCCUCUCUCACUGGAGCUAUUCCACAACAAUCCUGUGCCAUGUGCCUCUGGGAUGGCCCUGCUUGAGCAGGGAGAUUACACCAGACGACCCCACUGAGGUCCCUCCCAACCCAAACCAUUCUUGGACUCAGUCUCCUUGUCACUGUUGGUCUCUGCAUCAGAGCCAUCCUCUUCCUGGUCUGAGAGAAGGCAAAGAUCUUCAUCCUCAGCAUCCCUUGCAAUGGAUUUCUUGAAGAAAUCGAGAACUGCAUUGUUCUGGAGCUCU
Poecile atricapillus (Black-capped chickadee) is the source of this 440-nucleotide long non-coding RNA. RefSeq lists it as uncharacterized. The transcript has 3 exons. NCBI's taxonomy places the organism in Eukaryota, Metazoa, Chordata, Aves, Passeriformes, Paridae. The record is from RefSeq and is a predicted model, not a curated record.